RNAcentral lists this ribosomal RNA (494 nucleotides) under uncultured bacterium. Its description in RNAcentral is "partial 16S ribosomal RNA". It matches the Rfam family "Bacterial small subunit ribosomal RNA", at positions 28 to 507 of the family's 1533-position model. The record is from RNAcentral.
GACGAACGCUGGCGGCGUGCUUAACACAUGCAAGUCGAACGGAAAGGCCUGCUUUCCCUUGUGGAUUGCGGGUACUCGAGUGGCGAACGGGUGAGUAACACGUGAGUGAUCUGCCCCCAACUUGGGUAUAAGCCUGGGAAACUGGGUCUAAUUCCCGAUAGGACUGCAGGGUGGUGCCUGUGGUGGAAAACGAUUUUCUAGUGGUUGGGGAUGAGCUCGCGGCCUAUCAGCUUGUUGGUGGGGUAAUGGCCUACCAAGGCGGCGACGGGUAGCCGGCCUGAGAGGGUGGACGGCCACAUUGGGACUGAGAUACGGCCCAGACUCCUACGGGAGGCAGCAGUGGGGAAUAUUGCACAAUGGGCGGAAGCCUGAUGCAGCGACGCCGCGUGGGGGAUGACGGCCUUCGGGUUGUAAACUCCUUUCGGCCGCGAGGAAGCCACCUGGUUGGAAGGGUGGUGACGGUAGUGGUAGAAGAAGCACCGGCUAACUACGUG